UCCGAGUUGACCCCGGCAGUCUCCUGCGAGUCCCCGCCAUUACGCGCUGGCAACACAGGACAAGGGUUGCGCUCGUUGCGGGACUUAACCCAACAUCUCACGACACGAGCUGACGACAGCCAUGCACCACCUGUGCAGGACGCCGAAGCACACCGUGUUUCCACGGCUUUUCCCUGCAUGUCAAGCCCAGGUAAGGUUCUUCGCGUUGCUUCGAAUUAAGCCGCAUGCUCCGCCGCUUGUGCGGGGACCCGUCAAUUCCUUUGAGUUUUAAUCUUGCGACCGUACUCCCCAGGCGGCGCGUUUAUCGCGUUAGCUUCGCCACAGAAGGGGUCGAUUCCUCCUACAGCAAACGCGCACCGUUUAGGGCCGGGACUAC
Molecule: unclassified non-coding RNA, 376 nt
Filed under: uncultured bacterium
Lineage: Bacteria
Description: contains 16S-23S intergenic spacer region
Source: RNAcentral